RNAcentral lists this ribosomal RNA (558 nucleotides) under Bacillus subtilis. RNAcentral's name for it is "bacterial SSU rRNA". It matches the Rfam family "Bacterial small subunit ribosomal RNA", at positions 91 to 634 of the family's 1533-position model. Lineage: Bacteria; Bacillati; Bacillota; Bacilli; Caryophanales; Bacillaceae. The record is from RNAcentral.
GUUAGCGGCGGACGGGUGAGUAACACGUGGGUAACCUGCCUGUAAGACUGGGAUAACUCCGGGAAACCGGGGCUAAUACCGGAUGGUUGUUUGAACCGCAUGGUUCAGACAUAAAAGGUGGCUUCGGCUACCACUUACAGAUGGACCCGCGGCGCAUUAGCUAGUUGGUGAGGUAACGGCUCACCAAGGCGACGAUGCGUAGCCGACCUGAGAGGGUGAUCGGCCACACUGGGACUGAGACACGGCCCCGACUCCUACGGGAGGCAGCAGUAGGGAAUCUUCCGCAAUGGACGAAAGUCUGACGGAGCAACGCCGCGUGAGUGAUGAAGGUUUUCGGAUCGUAAAGCUCUGUUGUUAGGGAAGAACAAGUGCCGUUCAAAUAGGGCGGCACCUUGACGGUACCUAACCAGAAAGCCACGGCUAACUACGUGCCAGCAGCCGCGGUAAUACGUAGGUGGCAAGCGUUGUCCGGAAUUAUUGGGCGUAAAGGGCUCGCAGGCGGUUUCUUAAGUCUGAUGUGAAAGCCCCCGGCUCAACCGGGGAGGGUCAUUGGAAAAU